RNAcentral lists this long non-coding RNA (16056 nucleotides) under Equus caballus (horse). Its description in RNAcentral is "lncRNA (ENSECAG00000054778.1)". Lineage: Eukaryota; Metazoa; Chordata; Mammalia; Perissodactyla; Equidae. The record is from RNAcentral.
GGGACAUUAACCCUGAGUGCUGCUGAGUGGAGAACACUUCAAAGGCAAGGGACAGUGAGAGAACCAGAAGCCAAUCAGAGUGAAGAGGAUGUUUGAAUAGAGAGAGAGGGGGUAUAUAAAGGCUAAGGGUUUGGGGCUUCUCUCUCUCUCCACUGUCUCUGUUCUAGCCGACUUCUGCCAAUCUGGGCAGGUAUUUACAACUCCAAGAGGACAAGAGGGGUCAGGUGAGUCUGGGGUCAACUAGACUAUGUUUACCUCCAUACAUUUUGUCCCUUUGCAGUAGCUCUGCGAGACUGGUUAAAUUCUAAUCACAAGGACCAGCGUUCCUAAUGUAUUUUACUUGUUUACUCUGCACCUGCUUAAGGAGUCUGGCAUUGACAUGUGAGCUCACAAAUGCACAUUCAAGAAAUGAGUGGAAUACAUGGCUGUCACUCUUGUUCUCUCUGUGUGGGGAGAGGCUGAGAUGACACUCAGGCGUCCAUUUGUAAAAUGGGGCCAGCGUGCUCUGCAGCCUAUUUGGCCAGUACACUGUGAUAACUAAGUGAGACUCUGCUCUGGAGGUCUCCUUUGGAAGAAAGGCACAUUACGGUUAUAAGGUGGCAAACUUUGAAAGCAUUGCUGCAGAAUUCUUCUAUAGGAACUGUUUUCUUGUGAGUAUCAGAAAGUACAAAUAUGACUCUGGAGAAGAAAUUCCACCUUUUGAAAGGCCUACAUCUCAGUUGUGAGCAUUUUUUUUAAUGUCUGGACACGCUCCUGGUGUGAAGCUCUGGUUAAGUGAUGAGUCCGACCACAGCAGUAGAACGAAGUACAGAAAUGGUAUUCAAUCAUCACUCUUACUCUGUUUCCAGGCCACCUGUGCAGAUAUUUGUAACUCAUUUUAUUUGUUACCAUUUUUAAGAAGACUAGGGGGUGGGAGAGAAUCUCAAAUACCAUUCUUUGCUAGUCCCAAUGUUAACCCAGUGAUUACUGUGUGUGAUUCAGUUUGAGAUAGAUGACCAUCAAUACUAAUCUGUCCAAUAAAAAUACAGUCUAACAUAUUUUUGGUUCAAGUUGAGGACUGAGGCCAUAACAUGCAAUGCUUUACUUUUGGUAGUGUUAAAAUAAAGAUCAAAGGGAAUUGAUGGAUGGUUUCAAAAUUGAAUGGUAUUGUUCAAGCUGAUGAAUCACAGGUCUCUGUAUUACCCUCCACCCAACAAUGCAAUUAAUUCCUAAUUUAUUUACACGUAUAUAAAAAAGAAUGUAGCUCACUUGAAAUUAUUUUAGUAAGGAAGAUUAUUGGGACCUCAAUAACCAUCAGAUGGUGUGAGACUAGGUAAAGGAAAGAUGGGUUGUUCUCAUGAUAGUCGUCUUGUUCCUUAAUCUCAUGAUUAAAGAUGAUCACUAAGAAAAAAGCUCAAGAGUUUGUUACAGUAACAGUACCACUGACUCUAGGGUGCAAGACUAAUGUGUGCCUCGUAUUCCACUAUGUGAACCUGACACCUCCCAGAUGUUAUUUCCUGAAAACUCUGGCAAAGCUGGCCUAUUAACUUCAUCACCCAGGGAGGGGGAGACAGAAGAAUGGGAUGUGGGUGAAACCGUAUGGCCAAAUAUAGGUUAUUGUCAAGAGUCUAACUUUUCUUUGGAGGGGGAGAGUUCACUGGUGUACAAUAAAUUAUUAGUAACCUGUUAUUAUUACUAUGAAUGUCCCUUUAUCUGCUUGGUUUUCAGCCGUCAAUGAAGAGCAGAAGUGCUCCACUAAAAAAUACUUCUUAAAUGUCAUCUACAUGGACUUUGUUUUGCUUUAAAGCUUCUUGUUGCACCUUUGCAUUGUGUUAAUUUUCAACUGCCUUGACUCGUUUUAGAAGCAGCCAGGACAUAAAUCCUAAAUAGCAAAGUUUUAAUUUAGCUAGUGUGUGUGUGUGUGUAUGCAAAUAUAUAAUCUUUAUAUACAUGAAUAUAUAUACCUGUAUAUAUGUGCUCAUAUGUGUAUAUGAACAAAUACAUUUAUAGGUGCCUUUAUAUUGUUAAUGACAGUUUUUCUUACAUAACACACACACACAUAUAUAUGCAUACUACUGUAUAUUUGUAUAAAGCUAUUUAUUUUCCAAAAUACAUUUUAUAGAUGAUCUUACUCUGAACUUCAUAAUCAUCCUCAGCAAAGGUUAAAUGUCCUGUCCAAAUUCACACUUAGUAAGUGGGAAAGCCAGGGCUAGCGAUGAAGUUUCCUGAUUCUUAGCCAGGCGUUCUUUCCACUACAACAGCUGUCACUGGUUACUGGGAAGGCGAGAGGAAGAAACUGAUUUAGCUUCUGUGAAGUUGAGAAUUAUUGAUAGUGACUGAAAUAUCAGCAGUACAGUUAUUUUGCAAGUCCGUCGAUCCACGAUAGUCCUAUACGUGAUUGAGUUAAGUUGUAUAAGUGGCCGUGAGUAAUAACUUUGAAAUGUUCUGUCUAUAUUAUGCUGUGUUCCACCAUCUCCUGGUGCUCUAAUUCUGUGUUACCUAUCUUUUUUAUUGACUUUGUUUUUGACAACUAAACCAUCUCAUGGCUAUUUAUCACACUAGUAAUAAAAAUACUGAUGCAAGAUACUCUAUUACUGAAGAACAUGCCCCAAACAGCUGCUGGUCCAAGGAUGAUGAGAGAUAUGUGAUGUAAAUUUGUUCCUGACCUAAAGCCUGGAGCCCAACCAACUACAGACUGAAGCAGAUCUGUCCCUGGGGACCCUCAAACCAGUGAGCAAGAAAAAUAUACCCUUAUUGUUGUAAGUCCCUAGGUUUGCAGCAAUAGCUGACUAACAUAGGUAGGUAAGUGGGCAAAGACAGGGAGUAUUCUGGAUUUACUUUGGAAAGGAGGCUAAGAAUUCAUUGAGUGGAGGCAUGAAUAGGACGUGGUGACCAACAGGAUAAAGAGGCAAUAAGGCACAAGGGGUCAAAGCUGACUGGGUGGUCAAGUCCAGGUUGAAUGUUGGCAUUGUGUGGCAUGCGUGAGUGUAUUGGGGCUGGGAGUUGGGGUCACAAUCUGGUUCUCUCAUUCUCUUUUCAAGGUCUAUGACCUCUAGUGUUGAGGGAUGCUUGGGGGAAACAAUGGAGGAAUGGCAGAUGUCUCUUGACUCAAUUGCCCAGGUUGUAGUUCUCUUUCUUUAGAUUAUCUUUGCUUCUCUGGCCAACACAAACUAGCCUGCUAUGCUCUCUGUGUAAUAGGUGUGCAAAUGCUGAGUCUAUAGUAAGUCACAUGUAUAAAUUAUUUGGAUGGCCUGCGAGGUAGGGCUCUCUUUACAGUAUUAUAAUUCAGUUAGGAAUUCUGCUCUGGCUCUACCUUGCCCACCCCAGCUCCCAUCCCCAACGUUAUAUCUUACAGCCUCUUGAUCCUUGGCUGGGGUACCAGCAAGAAAAACUCUAGCCCAGGUAUAUGUCUCCAAGAAUAGUUCUAACUAGAUACCCCAGGGGAAACUCACACCUCCUUGCCACACCAUGAAGUAGCAUUCCAGGAGCUCCUCCAAUCUAGCCACUUUAAUCAAGUCUUUUAUUCAAGAAAGCAUGAGAUAGACCAACAAGUGAGCUGCCUUCCAAGAGGCAGCCAUCCAAAUAGGGAAAAAGAAUGCCAGCCUCCUCUUUCUAAAGGCAUCCUCCAGUCAUCAAGAUUAGGUCUCUUCUCACUUGGUCGUGGUAUGGUUAAGAGGUGGUAGUGUAGCUACAGGAGUUUCCCUCAAGCCAACAACUCAGAGCUGGCACUCUUGAUUACUAUGCAAUCUGCCAACAGAGAGAGAGGUAAAAUCUGUAAUAUUGACUUUUAUCUGCCUGGAGCUGGUAGUUGAAGCUUUGAGGAUGGGUGGAUUCUCAGAAAGAGAGAGAGAAUGUAGGGAGAAGAGUUGACUAUUAGAGACUAACACAUUUGAGUGAUAGAAAGAUGUGGUGGAGGCAGAGAAAGGGUCUAAGAGAGAGUCUGGAUCGUCGCCUAAUGGGAAAAGAAAUAACCCAGCUUAUAAAGUGAAUCAAAUCAGUUUUGCCCAGAAUCCUAGGCCCUCACUUUGCCCUGGAGGUGUGUCUACAAAGAAGACUAAAGUACCCUGGUUUUGGAACAGCUGUUUACUGGAAUCCUGUGCCACUUUUAGGUGUGAUGUUCCAGUUCACCAGAAGCCUGGUUACCAGGUAGGUGGAAUUGUGAUCAAAAUCAACUGGAGCCUGAAUCCUUGGAAAUUCUCUGGUUUAAAGAAUUACAAUGACGGCUGAUGAAAGGAAAGAAUUCUCAUGUAACAAAAAGGAUUUCAGAGAAUAGCUUACACUGUGUAACUAUUUAAAACUGUAGAUUUUAGCUCUCUGUUUACAUUCUCUUUGUUGCACAUUCAAGGUGGAAAACCUAUAGGUGAAACUGCUAUAAAAUUUUUUUUCAAUAAUUUUGUUUUUGUUAAACAAAAUGAACUGUUCUGAGUUACUUUCCCUAAGAUGGCUGAACUGGGCGGUGAUUCUUUGGUAACACAGUUAGAGAAACUGUGGGGAAACAGGUAUUAUGAUCAUGGGUGUAUUGUAUAAAACUACGUGAACCCCUAUGAAGGGCAAUUUGUUAAUAUCUAUCACAUUUCCAAAUGCAUAUAUCCCCUUUGACCCAGCAAGCACAUUUCUGGAAACUUAUCCCCACAAAAUAUUGCUUUGCUACAAACUGGUGUUAUUUAAAAGGGUCUUGUUUGAACAGCAAAAGAUAGGAAACAACCUAAAUGUCUAUCAGUUGUGGAGGAGUUAAAUAAAUUAUAGUAUAUCCACAAAGUGAAAUUUUAUGCACCUGUAAAAAUAAGGCAAUUCUUUAUGUAAUGAUGUGGAGGAUCUAUAAGAUAAAAAAAGCAAAGUACAUAAAAUUAUGUCGAUUAUGCUCCUUUUUAUGUAAGAAAGGAGGGAAAAAUAUAUUUGUAUUUGCAUACACAAGAAAGCAUAUGCAAGAAGUGAAAAGACGUCAUUACCUGAGGAUGGAGAAGGGUAAUGAGGCAGGUGUUGGAGAAAGACCUUUCACUGCAUAUAUUUCUAUAUAUUUUUUGAACUGUGUGAAUGUAUUUCCUAUUAAAACAUUUAAAAACAAAAUGGUCACUUUUAUGUAACUUUGUUUUUUCAUUAGAAAUAGAGUCUGUGUUUAAUUAAUAGAUAAUUACUCAUUUGUUUGUGGAUCAUCCAUUAAAAUUGUUGGUGUUUGGAGCAAAGUGCUUGACUUAAGCAUCAGGUGUUUUGAAUUUGGGUCCAUCAAUUACUAAUUGUAUGACCUCAGAUCUGUCUCUUCUCUUUGUCAUUAAGUUUUCUCAUUAGUAAAAUAAGUUAAUCCAGAUGAUUUCUGUUCUUCCAGUUCCAAUCCACUUUUUUCUUUUUCUUUUUCUUUUUUUGAGGAAGAUUAGCCCCGAACUAACAUCUGCUACCAUCCUCCUCUUUUUGCUGAGGAAGACUGGCCCUGAGCUAACAUCCAUGCCCAUCUUCCUCUACUUUAUAUGUGGGAUACCUACCACAGCAUGGCUUGCCAAGCGGUGCCAUGUCCACACCUGGGAUCUGAACCGGCGAACCCCACGCCACUGAAGUGGAAUGAGCGCACUUAACUGCUGCACCACCGGGCCAGCCCCUCUACUCUUUUCUUUACUUUCCCAAAUGAUUAGGAAUUCCAACAUUAUCCUGAUGUUUCCCUUCAAGAAACUUGAUUAGGAAGACUAACACUGUCACAUCUUGGCAUCAGGAUUCUUUGGCUGCAAGCAACUGAAACUAACCCUGGUUAGCUUAAGUGAAGAAUAGCUCAUAGAGUCAAGGAAGAACUGGAAAACCAAAUAAGGAAUUUGUGUAUAUUCUUUCUAGGGCGCCUUUAUUGGAUGAUUCCUUUCAACUGUCUUAUGUGGCUGUGUGUUUCUCAUGAAGAUUCAAAUUCCCAGGAGAUAAAAUAUCUGAUUAUCUGAAGCCAAGGAAGCAGGGUCCUGCCAUUGUAGCCACUCUAGGAUCUCAGGUUAUGAGGGAUAAAUGGUUCUCCAACAAAGGGCUCCUGGGCAGACAAAAACAAUGCCUGUCCAGGAGAGCAUUCUAAACAGUGCUGCUCUUCAACCAUGUAGUUGGUCGGAGCUGAUGGGCUCCAUUUCAUGCCUCUGCAUACAAUUCAAGAUCAACACAGUAGUUGGAUGGAAGAGUUAAAACUAGGGGAGAUCAUGUUAUUGCUGUAAGAAGAAAUUUUAUCCCAAGCUUCUAUAUCAUUGUCAUAACCUAAGGUUGAGAGAACACUAUUCCAUGGGUCAGAGGAUAAUUCUCAAAAUUGCUAAAAACUUAAAAUUCAUAGAUACUCAAAAUAAUGACCAUGAUAUUCAUCUCACAAUAGUUUAGAUAUUUCUGAAAUUCAUCACUAGCCACUUUUGCAAAGGACUACCAUAUGACACAGAGAUCUUUAUGUUGAAGUUGUCCAUCUAUAUAGCAGUUGACUUUUUUCACUGGGACUUGCCCUAUUUGCAAUGAUUACUGUAGUGAUUACUACAAUGAUUACUGUUCCAGUUCCUACUGGAGGCCCCUAUAGAAUUGCUUUCUGACAUGGAAGCAAUCUCUCUGAUCAACCAAUAUAAUUCCUGUCUCACACAGAUGAGGAAACUGAAUCCCAGACAGGUUGUGUGAGUUGCCCAAGGUCACACAACUAGACGGUAAUAGAAAUGGUACUAGACAAUAGACAUCUUGCAUGAGGGAUGGUCUUUUUUUCACCACCCCGUGUCACUCAGUCUAGUUCUAAUUUUAGGUAGAUCAAGCCUAUGCGUGAAGAGGUAGGCAUCACUGCCAUUCUCUGACAACCUUCUGGGUGUAUCUCAUAGUCUUUGUGCUAUUCUAAACAUUUUCUUUCAUCAUGGUCUUGAAACUAUCUUUGCAAUGCAUUAGCAAGUGCUCAGAGGUGUGAUUGUCCAGCCUCUCCCUGGCUACUCCUCUGUACCUUUUAGCAGACUUUGGAAGCUUAUGUCAUCCUGUUGGCUGUCUUUCUGUACACUGGGGGACAUCUCUGCAUUUCAGUCUUCCCAGCUCUUGCAAUUAAGAGUUGCUUCAUUAGACCAAAGUCCUAAUAAGAAUAGUGAUCCUUUCCUCCACAGCAAGCAUGCAUGAAAUAGGCUAUAUUUCUUGUUAAUUUUCAUACAAAUUUCUAUAGUCGAGAAAAGCAUGCCUCAGUAUAUUUAGCUUUACUUUUAUUUUUGGCACUUCCUUCAGAGCAGAAUUGUAUACUAUGGAAUAUCCAGGUCCUAGUAGUCAAUGUAAAUGUAAUAAGGAUGUUAAGUCUUCCUUCCUUCCUCCCUUCCUUCCUUUUUCUCUUUCUUUUAUUGUAUUUUAUUUACCUUGAAAGAAAGAAUUCCCAUCUUCUCUGGUAGGCUGAAUUGCUUCUCUUACUUGUCUAUACUAUGCCCAAGGUAUAAGCAGCAUAUCCCCAAAUGGUUAGACUUGUGUGUUUUUACAUCCUGUCUAGGAUGUUAGACAUUAUUACAGCCACUGAGACAUGUGGUGCAUUUUAUUCAAUUACUCCUGUUGUCAUUUUGUUGUUUUUCUGAAGGGUCCUCUUGAGAUCCUCAGACUUUCAUCUUCCUCUUCUGUUUGUGGUCUUUUGGGCUGUCUUACUGUUUUUUUGACCUUUGUUAUUACCAAUUGUUCCAGAAUCACCUCUCUCUUCUUCUCCCUCCCUUCCUUCUCUCUCUCUCUAUUGCGGUCUCUCCUUUCUUUCUUUACUUCUAAAUCCUUUCCACUCAUUCCCUAAUAUAUCCAUUCAAUAGGUAUCUUGGAGUCUACUAUUUCCAAUGGUGGCCCAAUAGACUCUGUGAAGUCAGAGAUGAGUACUUUUCCCUCUCAUAAAAUGGGGAAAGAAGAGAACCUACUUUAUAGUGUUGUUAUGAGAGAUGAGAUACCAUGUAUAAAAUGCUUGGAACAGUGUCUGCUAGCCAGGAAGCACUCAAAAAUGUUAUCUUGGGGCAGGCCCUGUGGCAUAGUGGUUAAGUUUGGCAUGCUCUGCUUUGGUGCCCAGGUUCGCAAGUUUGGACCCUGGGCACAGCUAUACGGUCAUUAGCCAUGCUAUGACAGCAACCCACAUUUAACGUGGAGGAAGAUUGGCACAGAUGUCAGCUCAGGACUAGUCUUCCUUACACAAAAAAAGAAAAGAAAAGAAAAGAAAAUUAGCUUUUACUAUUAUUUUAGUGACAAUAACCCCAAAUGUCUUACAUGGUAGAAAGAGAUUGGAGUUUUCAAGACUGCACAGCCUUGAGUAGUACCUUCUUAUCCUCCUCUCGCAGUUCAGUCUCCAGUCCUGUGGAUAAGCAGGAUCCUACUCCAAGUGAUUGAGUUAAGGAGUCUUUGAUCAGCACAGAUGGCUUUAUUAUUUUCCUCUUUUCUUGUGUCUACGAGGUAAACAUCAGUUUUCUAAAGUUUUUGUUUGUUUGUUUUUGAAGACUACUGGUCUUAAUACAUUUUUUUCCUUGAUCUGUUUAUAAUCACACAGGUGCCCUUGACUUAACGGUAAAUUUUUAUGUAAUGAUAGAAUCAUAGGUCACGAGUUCUGGUUGGGGUCCAAGUGUUCAGAAAGACCAUUGUAAAUUUCCUUCAACCAGCUUUAGUUUUUCCAUAUUGCUUGAAGUCCAUGAGAAUAUUACUCUUUUCUUCUCUCUUUCCACCUGCUACGUGGACGGGGAUCUCUCAGUGUUUUAAAGCUUUUGAGUUUACCUCUUCGUCGCACCUUCUUUGUAUGUAUUUUUAAUUUUUGUUACAAAGUUCUCAUGUCUUACUGCCCCCUUCAAGCACAUUUUAAUUACUUCCUGUUAUAGGUGAUGCUUUUUUUCACUGUUGGAUAACUGUCUAAUUUCUAAGCUUUGGAAGACAAUUUCAGCUAUAUUGUCGUGUGAGCAGAAAAGAGAGCUGUUUACAUUUCACAUGGCUCCAUAUCUCCUUCCUUGUAUAUCCUCUUCAUUUUCCUAAUUCACAAACUUUUUCUAUGUUUGUUCCAAGGAACAUGUCAUGCUAAUACUAUGUAAAGAGACACUUUUUAAAGGUUAUGCCCCUCCUAUGUUUUCAUAUUUCUCUAAAUUUUCUGUAGUUUCCUAGAGACAGAGCUCAUAUUUCUUUCCAAUCUCUCAUAUUUUUUUUUUCCACAAAGAAGGGAGGGGAUAUGUAAUCCCAAACUUUUUGUUUUUGACCAGCUACAAUUAAAUUUACAUCUGUGUGGUCUUCUAGUUUAGAUCUCAGGUCCUUUUGACUUCUGGGCCAGUGGGGAUUACUUCCCCUUGGGACCAGGCACCAUAUCUUCCUCUUCAGAUUCAGAUUUGUUGUUGAACUUAAGCGACAUCUAUUUAUUUUUCUUCUCCUAGAGUUAAAUGUCUAGCCAUUUGUAUUUAUAGCAUUUCUUUUGUAUUACAUAUUCCUAUUUGUACUUUUUCAAUUUUAAUGCCUCUACCAAGACUUCUUUUGAAUAUUUUUUCCUGCCUCCUUUGAGUCCUCUUUCUGCUUUAUCUAUUUAUCUCAGGCUGAGUUACUCCUAUCGCUGCAAUGGUUUAGCCUUUCAUUCAUUCAACAGAUAAUUUUUGAAUCCCUACUAUAUGCUAGGCACUAUGCAAGGCCUUGGAAAUGCAAGAGUGAACAAGGCAGAUAGGCAGUCUGCUCUUAUGGAGUUUUCAUAUUAGUGUGGAAGACAGAAAAACCAAGUAAAUAAAUAAAUGAAUAAUACAAGUUCAGAUAGUGACAUAUGCUAUGAAAAAAAUAAUUUAGCAUAAUGAAGUGGAGAGUUGGGUUUAGGUAAGUAUGCAAGCUAUUUUUUUUAAAUAAGAUCAUUAAGGCCUCUCUGAGAAAAUGACUUUCAGCUGAGAACACAAUGAUGUAAGAACUGGAAGAAAGCAUUCCAGGCAAAGGCAACAACAAGCAUGAAGGCCUUGAGGUGGGAAAAAAACUACUGAAGGAACAGGGAGAAGGCCAUUGUGGCUAUAUCAGAGCCAGAGAAGGUAAGGUGGAGAGGAUGACUUUGGAGAAGUGGAAAAGGGUCAGAUCACAUUGGAUGAUGCCAUCCAUCUUACUGGAGGUCACUAUUGAAUUGCUUAUGGAAGGCUGUAAGCCUUGGUACUGAUUUUGGAUUUUAUUCUAAGGGUUUUAGGAGGCCAUCAGAUGGUUUUGAGCCGGGGAAUGAGAAGAUAUGAGUUUGAAAGAUCACUUUGGCUGCUGUGUUUAGAACAGACUGUGAGGGAGAAAGAGUCGAAGGAAUGGGACCAGUUGGAGGCUGCUCUUUUUAGUUGGAGUGGUGUUCUGAUUUGCUGAAUCCAAGUGACCCAGACUGAUUUACAGAGGGUCAUGAUUUAUUUCAUAUAUAGGAAGUCCAGUAGCAGGGUGGACUUGAGGGUUUGUUGUCUCAGCAACUCAAUGAUAUCGUCUACCCUCUGCUAUCCUGGAUUUUGUUUCAUCCUCAUGCUAGUCACAAAAUAGCUGCUGUAGCCCUGAGGAUCAUGCCCUAAAAUGACCAAGUCUGGAGGUAGGAGAGAAAUUAUUACAUCAUGGGGCAGUCUCUUAGCAGGUGUCCUUUCUUCUAAAUUUGCCCUGCACCCUUUUUGAUCAGAACUGGUUACUCCUGAACCCAUCACUCAUGGAAGGUAUAGAAAAUAUCAGAAUUUACAUGGGCCAGUGAUUUGAGGUUGGAAUGGAUAAUGGGGAAUCAGCCCCUACUUCUGUAGUCCAGAGAGAAAUAAAUACCCACUGCCUAGCCUAAUGUGUGAUAUACAGCAGGACCUCAAAUAAAACUAAAUCAAAACCAAACAAAUCAACCCUCCUUCUUUGGACUCUUCAGAAAAACUGAUAUUCCCCCCAAGGCAUUUCUGUUUCCAAAUAGUGUUGUCCUGCCUGUAACAUAACAAGAAGAUAUUCAACUAACUUUUCAAAUUUGCUUAUAAAGUGAGUGAAUAUCUGAAUGUCUCCUGUAUGAAAGGUAACACUCUGGGAAGUUUAGAGUGAGAACUGCGUUAGACUUUACCACCAUCCUGUGAAGCAGGGAUUUCUAAAUCCAUUCUGCAGAACAAAAAGCUGAUCCUAAUUAAAUUGAUGAAGGUCACACAGCAAUUUUUGCCAUUCUCCAAAGUCCAUAUACAUUCUUCUAUAAUUUUAAGAAUAAAAUAAAAGUAUAUUUGUGGCCAGAGUUGGAUUUGCAUACUUGACUCUUUUUAAAGGAUUCUAAAUCAAUAGCUUGCCUAGAUCUUGAGAGCUGGAUCUCAUUUUUAGCUUCCAAAGGCUCACAGGCAAUAUGAAAAGCAAUAAUCUUCAAAUUGAACAAAUAAAGAUCAGAAGUGAUAUAUCACCUGGAAGCAGACUCCAGAGGCAUAUCACUUCUAUUUGACAUCUCACAUGUAAUAAAGACAGAGCCUAAUUAUUUUAAAAAUACUUUGGUGGGAGGAGGGUAUUGUUCUGUGGAUGUUGAGGUGCUAGUCUUUUUUGAAAGGGGUAUUACGAAGGACUAAGUCAACAAAAAUACAAACUCUUUCCACCUGAAGGCAAGUUAUUUAUUCCACUCAGUUUGGGUUUUGUCUUUGUGUUUUUAACCUCUGCCUCAGUGUGUACUCUGCACACUUAUUGACCAAAGCAUGGCUGCUGAGAUGUGAAAUUAGGUGAUUUAAAGAUUCACUUCUGAUUCCCAAGAUGUGCUCCAGGGCAUACUGUGAUGUGCUUUAGGGCAUAAAAUGAUCUCACGCUGGGGCUAAGGGGGAAAAAACAUCUCUGCAGUAGCAAUAAAUAUUACAUGGUGGCAUGGUGGUUAGAAGAUAAUGUUCUUAAAAAUUUUCCGAAUAACUAUAUUUUUCAUAAAAUCAGAUUAUAAGGCAGGAAACUAAACUAUAUCAAUCGUUGACUUAUUAUACAGUGGAAACUCUCUAAGUUAUUCAAUAUGUUGUAGGUUGUUCUCAUCAGUUCAAAGAUGAAAUUCACUUUGUUUUUCUCUAAACUAGUUUUGGAUUAAUGUGUGGAGCUAAAAAUAAACAUAAAACGUCUGGGAGAGUUUUGGUGCACCCAGAUUUUAAUUUGUCCAUAGUAAUGAGGGAAAAAGGAGAUGGUAGCCCUUGAAUGUCCAGUUCUAAAGAACGGAGUAUUGGUGUAGAAAACAAGAUAAUUCUACCAGGGCUUUGACUGAUCUGCCAUUUGCAUAAUCAGGAGUAAAGGACAGUCUUAGAGUAUAGUCUUCCAAAUAACUUUUAUCUGUGUUACCAGAAAACAAUGAAACAUUGACUCAAUGCUUCCUGAGCAUGUUCCUUUCUACCCUCUGGCAGAGCUUCUAAUAAGUGAACUGAUCAGAAAACAGUGGAGGAAAGUAGGCAGAAAGAGAAACAAGGAAUCUGGGUUAAUUUCCAAACUGAAUAAUCAGCUUCCUACUAAAAAAGAGAAUUGGCAAGGCUGUAUGGAAGGUUCCAUGAUUCCUUCACUCCCAUUGUGGCCGCAGUAUGUGAGCUGGCAAGAGAGACCUGCAAAUACUAUGGAUAAACCUAAUCAUUUCUCAAAGGCUCCUAUUUAACUCACUAUAAUUUAAGAUUACACAGCCCUACUUGCCCUGCAUACAUCCUCUUCUGUGUUGAGUCUACCACUUUGCUUGAGAACCUAACAAUCAUCGCUCUGAAUGGUGUGUUCACAUGGAGCGCUUUGUAGUUGGUGACACACUUGGGGAUUUGCAAGCUCGGCCCACAAAAAAAAAAAUCUGUCUUUCCUCCCUGAAUCUUGGAAAAACUUGGCCACUAUCCCAGUGGCGCAUAUUCCCUGAUUGCCUGCUCCAGGCUUCUUUUUAUGACUAAAAAAAAAAAGAAUCCCUGCUCAUUUGUGUUGCUCCAGGUUGGUGCAAAGUCCUGCUUGGGACUCAUGGGCUUGUGUCCCAAACAGCCUAGAUGCUGCCCAACAGAGCAGAGAUUGUCCAAAUGCUUAGAAAACCUGCAGAGCUGCUACUAACAUACUGAUUUUAUGUAUAAGGAAAUGGAACUCAGAGAGUUUAAAUGACUUAACUCAACUUCACACAGUGCGUGUCAGAGCCAAGAUAUGGACACAGGUUGGUCUGAUGCUGACGAUCAUGCUCUUUCCAAUAUACUGUGCUAUCUCCCAGAUUUAUAUGAAGGGAAAAAAGUAGGCAUCAAGAGUUAAGUAAAAGUUGUCUUCAAGUAAAAUGGUGUGUGGCACGUAGUAAGCAUUUACUAAAUAUUCUUAAUGAAAGAAAAAUGAAUUAAUGAGCAAUUAGUUUCUGAAUUUUUUUCUCCUUUAUGCUCACUAAAUUUUUAAAAAUGAGCAUUCACUACUUUUACAAUUACUAAAAGAAGAAAAAAAGAAAGAAAAAAGAGCUGUUCUUUUCCAGAGAUGCAGAAAACAGUUCCAGAAAUAAAAAAUGCCUGUAAAGAAGUUUUGGCUGAAGAAUGUUCUUCAAGGUCAAAUCAUCACUCUUAGCACUGGGUCAGUUAUUGUUGGUUGAGUGGAGUCAGUUCUUAGAAAGGUCAAUGUCACACAGUGACCUUGUAAUUCUCUUUCCCUUGGUCUCUCCAUCUGUGAGCAGAUUAAAUUCCUGUCAUCGAUCCAGGAGAAGGAGAUGUUAAAAGGCCUCGGGAGUAGAGAACAGUGUUAUAAGUAAAUUUGCAAGCCAGGAUACAGUCAACAAUUACUUGAUUUAUAGCCCACAAGCUUUAAACACAUCACAGAGAAGAAGAGAAGGGAAGGAAACGAUUAGCAACGUGCAUUCACAGACCUUGAUAUAUCAUAAUUGCAUAAUAAGAAUUGUAUGCUGUGAAAAUCAGCCUUGCCUUUCCUACGUGAGGUGGGGAGCCACAUCUAAUUUUUGGAUCUCCAGCAUAAGGUAAGAUAGGUACAUAUAGAUUCUAAAAACUUAGAAAACAGAAUUUUGGAAGGCAAAUCUCCUCUCCUAAUGAUUUCUAAAUUUUGAGAUGUGUUGUCAUGGAAAAUACUGGAACCAGAAGCUUAGCUUAACAAAUCACACAGACGGUUUAGGGCAAAAAUGCUCAAUCCCACCCCAUACAAUAAAUUGCAUAAAAGAGUUAUCCUAUUGUCUAAAGCAGCGCUAUUCAAUAAACUUUCUAUGAUGAUGGAAAUUAUCUAUUCUCAGCUGUCUAAAACAGAAGCCACUAGGCAUAUGUGGUUAUUGAUCACUUGAAAUGUAGCUAGUGUGACUGAGGAACUAAAAUAUUAAUCUUAUUUAAUUUUAAAUAGUUUGAUGGAAAUUUAGGUAGCCACAUGUAGCUAGUGGCACAGGUAUAGAGACAAGUUAAUAUACCAGACAUUUCUAUUGCAUGACCCCUGCUCCAAGCAUGGUUAAUUCCAACAGCCAUACUGGCUUGUCAAACUCCAUAGGUCAGGAGAGCCCUCUCAGAAACCAUACUUCGAUGAGAGAAGAUUCUUUCCCCAUAAAUCCAUGACUCUAGAAGUUCUUAACCCUGGCAUCCUCUCGCAAUGAGGAACCCAAAGUCCCCUUCAAGCAAUUGUUGGCUUCUUCAUUGAGUGGCUACUUCUCUGUAGAUAAUGGCAAGGGACAGACAGACAUAGGACUUUUCAAGAACACCAAUUCCAUAUGAAUCUCUCUGUAUGCGUUAGUGUUCAUGCAGACAGUCACUCACUUAAACAAUACUGAGUGUCCGUCACGGACCAGACGCUAUUCUCUCAAAGAUAACUUUCCACUGCUAACAUUUUGAUGUGUUGCCUUUCACUCCCACUCCAUAUGCACGUGGGGGACAGCAUGGCAUGAAGGAAGGAGCUUUGGAAGUGGACCAAACUGAAAUAGCACUGUUUCCUAGAACAGAGCUUGGCAAAAUUUUCACUGUAAAGGGCCGUGUAAUAAAUAUUUUAGGUUCUGUGAGCCACAUAAUUUCUUUUAUAACUCUUCAACUCUGCAGUUGUAGUGCCAAAUAAACCAUAGACAAUACAUAACCAUAUGAGCUUGGUUGUGCUCCAAUAAAACUUUAUUUAUCACACUGGAAUUUGAAUUUUAUAUAUUUUUCCUAUAUCACAAAAUAUUAUUUUUCUUUUGAUUUUUUUCAAUCAUUAUAAAACGUAAAAAUUAUUUCCUAGCUCAUGGGCCAUCCAGAGACAGGUGCUGGAAUAUGUUUGGCCCACAGACUCUCAGAGUUUUCUGACUCCUGGCCUAGAACAUAAUAAAUGAGAAUAUGUCUAUGAUACAAUGUAAGUAAAAACUCUUUGUGAACAUUUUAGUAUUUCCAUAAUAUUCUAUCAUGUGAGUGUAUGUUUAGUGUGUUGGUUUUCUUUAUUUUGGGAUUUUUAGGAUUUUUCCAAGCUUUAGUCAUUAAAAUUAAGAUGAAUAUCUUUGUUCCUGAAGAGUUUUAUUGUGGAUCAUUAUGCAAGUUGGAGGGUGUAAAUAUUUAAGAUUUUUGCUAUGUUGUUGCCGCUUCUUUCCAAAAAGUUGCCCAAACUAUAUUCCACAACAGCACUAGGUGGUCUUUUUCAAAUUUCCUGAAAUUUAGCCCUUCUGUAGGUAACUCUGCAGCUUCAUUAGCUGGAGUUUAAUCCUAUAUUUUAAAAUUUCUUCAAACUUACUUUAAAGACAACUAGGCUGGAAUAUGCUAAUUGGAAUUUUCCCAAAUAAUAGAAAAGUAGCUAAAUAUUAAUUAAAUUAAAAACUCCUACUAGGAACCAUACUUUUCUGCCAUCAAAAACAAUGGGCAUGAGUUUACUUGAAAAUACAUUAAAGGUUAAUCUUAUGUGGCGUAUUUAGAUUUGGAGAUGUCAUGAGUCACAGGAGAGUGAGUCUCUUCUUGAGAACUCAAGGAGCUCAGGCAAUUGGGCUGGGCUCAACUGAAUGGUUCAGACACUCUAUUGUCUGAGAUCAGAGCCUAGAACAGGUUUAGGUUUAAGUUGUAUUAAUGAAAUAUCUACUAUAACUGUGAGUCUCCAGAUGCAACCCACAAACCAGUAAUAGUCUGAGAUCAAGUUUUCAUCCUCCCAUAGAGAAAUGCAUAACGUAAAACUAAAUGUAUUCAAUUUAAAUGUAAAGAUCUACUUUUUUGUUGUUAAGGUGUCUUUCUUUUGAUAAAAUAAUGGUGUUCUAUAGAUGUUUUUUCAUAAUGAUAUUUGACAAAAUAAGCAAUAACAUAUCCUGUG